GAUGUAGCGAAAUAUAUAGCGUGUUGGACUUCUAAUCCAAAAGUUAUGGGUUCGAAUCCCACCUGAGAUA
Molecule: non-coding RNA, 70 nt
Organism: Trichonephila clavipes
Lineage: Eukaryota; Metazoa; Arthropoda; Arachnida; Araneae; Nephilidae
Source: the annotation of a GenBank genome assembly